GUGCACCAGUCGAGAAAACUCCGCAAUGCUCGAAAGAGUGACGGGGGGAUUCCAAGUGCCUACGCUUAGCGUAGGCUGUUCAGAUGCCUAAAAAGCAUCUGGAGUAAGGGCUGGGUAAGACGGGUGCCAUCUGCAGUGGUAAUGAAAACUUGCUACUGCAAGGCAUAAGCCGCCGCGGUAAUACCCGCAGCCCGAGUGGUAGUCGCUUUUAUUGGGCCUAAAGCGUCCGUAGCCGGUCUGGUAAAUGCCUGGGUAAAUCGUGGGGCCUAACCUCACGAAUUCCGGGUAGACUGCCAGACUUGGGACCGGUUGAGGGAGAGGGUACUCCAGGGGUAGGGGUGAAAUCCUGUAAUCCUUGGAGGACCACCGGUGGCGAAAGCGCUCUCCUAGGACGGGUCCGACGGUGAGGGGACGAAAGCCAGGGGAGCAAACCGGAUUAGAUACCCCUGUAGU
Molecule: ribosomal RNA, 453 nt
Filed under: uncultured microorganism
Description: bacterial SSU rRNA
Rfam family: Archaeal small subunit ribosomal RNA
Source: RNAcentral